AUUGAACGCUGGCGGCAUGCCUUACACAUGCAAGUCGAACGGCAGCACGGGAGCAAUCCUGGUGGCGAGUGGCGAACGGGUGAGUAAUGCAUCGGAACGUGCCAUUGAGUGGGGGAUAACGUAGCGAAAGUUACGCUAAUACCGCAUAUUCUGUGCGCAGGAAAGCAGGGGAUCGCAAGACCUUGCGCUCUUUGAGCGGCCGAUGUCAGAUUAGCUAGUUGGUGAGGUAAAGGCUCACCAAGGCGACGAUCUGUAGCGGGUCUGAGAGGAUGAUCCGCCACACUGGGACUGAGACACGGCCCAGACUCCUACGGGAGGCAGCAGUGGGGAAUUUUGGACAAUGGGGGCAACCCUGAUCCAGCCAUACCGCGUGAGUGAAGAAGGCCCUCGGGUUGUAAAGCUCUUUUGUCCGGAAGAAAAGCAAUCGGUUAAUACCCGGUUGUUCUGACGGUACCGGAAGAAUAAGCACCGGCUAACUUCGUGCC
This 485-nucleotide ribosomal RNA is filed under the name uncultured bacterium. RNAcentral describes it as "bacterial SSU rRNA". It matches the Rfam family "Bacterial small subunit ribosomal RNA", at positions 30 to 509 of the family's 1533-position model. The record is from RNAcentral.